GAGCAAUAUCUCAAGGAGAAGCAGAUCGUUAUUGACAACAAUCCAAAUCUCAAAACUGAUAUUUCUCAGAGUAACAAAGUUGUAGCCAAACUGAAAUCACAAGUAGAGGAGCAAUCACAGAAUGAGAAACAGAUCAUUACUGACCUUAAAGAAAAGGAGUUGUACAUAGCCAAACUAGUGAA
Long non-coding RNA from Amphimedon queenslandica, 182 nucleotides. RefSeq lists it as uncharacterized. The transcript has 3 exons. The record is from RefSeq and is a predicted model, not a curated record. NCBI's taxonomy places the organism in Eukaryota, Metazoa, Porifera, Demospongiae, Haplosclerida, Niphatidae.